RNAcentral lists this ribosomal RNA (497 nucleotides) under uncultured bacterium. RNAcentral's name for it is "partial 16S ribosomal RNA". It matches the Rfam family "Bacterial small subunit ribosomal RNA", at positions 28 to 507 of the family's 1533-position model. The record is from RNAcentral.
GAUGAACGCUGGCGGCGUGCCUAAUACAUGCAAGUCGAGCGAACAGACGAGGAGCUUGCUCCUCUGACGUUAGCGGCGGACGGGUGAGUAACACGUGGAUAACCUACCUAUAAGACUGGGAUAACUUCGGGAAACCGGAGCUAAUACCGGAUAAUAUAUUGAACCGCAUGGUUCAAUAGUGAAAGACGGUUUUGCUGUCACUUAUAGAUGGAUCCGCGCCGCAUUAGCUAGUUGGUAAGGUAACGGCUUACCAAGGCAACGAUGCGUAGCCGACCUGAGAGAGUGUGCUGCGCCACUGUGGCUGAGACACGGUCCCCACUCCUACAGGAGACGCCGCAAGGGAAUCUUCCGCGAUAUGGGAGAACGUGUCGGGGCGACACCCCGCGAGUGAUGAAGGUCUUCGGAUCGUAAAACUCUGUUAUUAGGGAAGAACAAAUGUGUAAGUAACUAUGCACGUCUUGACGGUACCUAAUCAGAAAGCCACGGCUAACUACGUG